GGGCGGUUAGCUCAGUGGUAGAGCACUGCCUUCACACGGCAGGGGCCAGUGGUUCGAACCCACUACCGCCCACCA
This 75-nucleotide transfer RNA is filed under the name Acidithiobacillus ferrivorans. RNAcentral's name for it is "tRNA-Val". It matches the Rfam family "tRNA". From Rfam's summary of the family: Transfer RNA (tRNA) molecules are approximately 80 nucleotides in length. Their secondary structure includes four short double-helical elements and three loops (D, anti-codon, and T loops). The record is from RNAcentral. Lineage: Bacteria; Pseudomonadati; Pseudomonadota; Acidithiobacillia; Acidithiobacillales; Acidithiobacillaceae. RNAcentral also lists the same sequence under 6 other names.